UCGGUGAUCCUGCCGGAGGNUACUGCUAUCGGAGUUCGAUUNAGCCAUGCGAGUCNNAAGGUUUCUUCGNAAANCCUUGNCGGACUGCUCAGUAACACGUGNAUAANCUNNCCUUGGGACUGGAAUAACCCCGGGAAAACUGGGGAUAAUNNCGGAUAGAUCAGGGAUGCUGGAAUGCACCUUGAUCCAAAGCUCCGGCGCCCAAGGAUGGGUCCGCGGCCUAUCAGGUAGUAGUGGGUGUAACGUACCUACUAGCCAACGACGGGUACGGGUUGUGAGAGCAAGAGCCCGGAGAUGGAUUCUGAGACACGAAUCCAGGCCCUACGGGGUGCAGCGGGCGCGAAACCUUUACAAUGUGCGAAAGCAUGAUAAGGGAACUCCGAGUGCCAGCAUCUAAUGUUGGCUGUCCUUGUGCCUAAAACGCACAAGAUAGCAAGGGCCGGGUAAGACCGGUGCCAGCCGCCGCGGUAACACCGGCGGCCCGAGUGGUAGCCGCUAUUAUUGGGUCUAAAGGGUCCGUAGCCGGUUCGAUAAGUCCUCUGGGAAAUCUGGUUGCUUAACAAUCAGACUGCCAAGGGAUACUGUCGAACUUGAGACCGGGAGAGGUAAGAGGUACUUCAGGGGUAGGAGUGAAAUCUUGUAAUCCCUGGGGGACCAUCUGUGGCGAAGGCGUCUUACCAGAACGGGUCUGACGGUGAGGGACGAAAGCUGGGGGCGCAAACCGGAUUAGAUACCCGGGUAGUCCCAGCCGUAAACGAUGCUCGCUAUGUGUCAGGUACGGUGUGACUGUAUCUGGUGCCGUAGGGAAGCCGUGAAGCGAGCCACCUGGGAAGUACGGCCGCAAGGCUGAAACUUAAAGGAAUUGG
RNAcentral lists this ribosomal RNA (866 nucleotides) under uncultured archaeon. Its description in RNAcentral is "bacterial SSU rRNA". It matches the Rfam family "Archaeal small subunit ribosomal RNA", at positions 4 to 868 of the family's 1478-position model. The record is from RNAcentral.